RNAcentral lists this ribosomal RNA (2909 nucleotides) under Escherichia fergusonii. Its description in RNAcentral is "23S ribosomal RNA". It matches the Rfam family "Bacterial large subunit ribosomal RNA". Lineage: Bacteria; Pseudomonadati; Pseudomonadota; Gammaproteobacteria; Enterobacterales; Enterobacteriaceae. The record is from RNAcentral.
GGGUUGUGAGGUUAAGCGACUAAGCGUACACGGUGGAUGCCCGGCAGUCAGAGGCGAUGAAGGACGUGCUAAUCUGCGAUAAGCGUCGGUAAGGUGAUAUGAACCGUUAUAACCGGCGAUUUCCGAAUGGGGAAACCCAGUGUGAUUCGUCACACUAUCAUUAACUGAAUCCAUAGGUUAAUGAGGCGAACCGGGGAACUGAAACAUCUAAGUACCCCGAGGAAAAGAAAUCAACCGAGAUUCCCCAGUAGCGGCGAGCGAACGGGGAGCAGCCCAGAGCCUGAAUCAGUGUGUGUGUUAGUGGAAGCGUCUGGAAAGGCGCGCGAUACAGGGUGACAGCCCCGUACACAAAAAUGCACAUGCUGUGAGCUCGAUGAGUAGGGCGGGACACGUGGUAUCCUGUCUGAAUAUGGGGACCAUCCUCCAAGGCUAAAUACUCCUGACUGACCGAUAGUGAACCAGUACCGUGAGGGAAAGGCGAAAAGAACCCCGGCGAGGGGAGUGAAAAGAACCUGAAACCGUGUACGUACAAGCAGUGGGAGCACGCUUAGGCGUGUGACUGCGUACCUUUGUAUAAUGGGUCAGCGACUUAUAUUCUGUAGCAAGGUUAACCGAAUAGGGAGCCGAAGGGAAACCGAGUCUUAACUGGGCGUUAAGUUGCAGGGUAUAGACCCGAAACCCGGUGAUUCAGCCAUGGGCAGGUUGAAGGUUGGGUAACACUAACUGGAGGACCGAACCGACUAAUGUUGAAAAAUUAGCGGAUGACUUGUGGCUGGGGGUGAAAGGCCAAUCAAACCGGGAGAUAGCUGGUUCUCCCCGAAAGCUAUUUAGGUAGCGCCUCGUGAAUUCAUCUCCGGGGUAGAGCACUGUUUCGGCAAGGGGUCAUCCCGACUUACCAACCCGAUGCAAACUGCGAAUACCGGAGAAUGUUAUCACGGAGACACACGGCGGGUGCUAACGUCCGUCGUGAAGAGGAAACAACCCAGACCGCCAGCUAAGGUCCCAAAGUCAUGGUUAAGUGGGAAACGAUGUGGGAAGGCCCAGACAGCCGGGAUGUUGGCUUAGAAGCAGCCAUCAUUUAAAGAAAGCGUAAUAGCUCACUGGUCGAGUCGGCCUGCGCGGAAGAUGUAACGGGGCUAAACCAUGCACCGAAGCUGCGGCAGCGACGCUGAUGCGUUGUUGGGUAGGGGAGCGUUCUGUAAGCCUGCGAAGGUGUGCUGUGAGGCAUGCUGGAGGUAUCAGAAGUGCGAAUGCUGACAUAAGUAACGAUAAAGCGGGUGAAAAGCCCGCUCGCCGGAAGACCAAGGGUUCCUGUCCAACGUUAAUCGGGGCAGGGUGAGUCGACCCUAAGGCGAGGCCGAAAGGCGUAGUCGAUGGGAAACAGGUUAAUAUUCCUGUACUUGGUGUUACUGCGAAGGGGGACGGAGAAGGCUAUGUUGGCCGGGCGACGGUUGUCCCGGUUUAAGCGUGUAGGCUGGUUUUCGAGCAAAUCCGGAAAAUCAAGGCUGAGGCGUGAUGACGAGGCACUACGGUGCUGAAGCAACAAAUGCCCUGCUUCCGGAAAAGCCUCUAAGCAUCAGGUAACAUCAAAUCGUACCCCAAACCGACACAGGUGGUCAGGUAGAGAAUACCAAGGCGCUUGAGAGAACUCGGGUGAAGGAACUAGGCAAAAUGGUGCCGUAACUUCGGGAGAAGGCACGCUGAUAUGUAGGUGAAGUCCCUCGCGGAUGGAGCUGAAAUCAGUCGAAGAUACCAGCUGGCUGCAACUGUUUAUUAAAAACACAGCACUGUGCAAACACGAAAGUGGACGUAUACGGUGUGACGCCUGCCCGGUGCCGGAAGGUUAAUUGAUGGGGUCAGCGCAAGCGAAGCUCUUGAUCGAAGCCCCGGUAAACGGCGGCCGUAACUAUAACGGUCCUAAGGUAGCGAAAUUCCUUGUCGGGUAAGUUCCGACCUGCACGAAUGGCGUAAUGAUGGCGGGCUGUCUCCACCCGAGACUCAGUGAAAUUGAACUCGCUGUGAAGAUGCAGUGUACCCGCGGCAAGACGGAAAGACCCCGUGAACCUUUACUAUAGCUUGACACUGAACAUUGAGCCUUGAUGUAGGAUAGGUGGGAGGCUUUGAAGUGUGGACGCCAGUCUGCAUGGAGCCGACCUGAAAUACCACCCUUUAAUGUUUGAUGUUCUAACGUUGACCCGUGAUCCGGGUUGCGGACAGUGUCUGGUGGGUAGUUUGACUGGGGCGGUCUCCUCCUAAAGAGUAACGGAGGAGCACGAAGGUUGGCUAAUCCGGUCGGACAUCAGGAGGUUAGUGCAAUGGCAUAAGCCAGCUUGACUGCGAGCGUGACGGCGCGAGCAGGUGCGAAAGCAGGUCAUAGUGAUCCGGUGGUUCUGAAUGGAAGGGCCAUCGCUCAACGGAUAAAAGGUACUCCGGGGAUAACAGGCUGAUACCGCCCAAGAGUUCAUAUCGACGGCGGUGUUUGGCACCUCGAUGUCGGCUCAUCACAUCCGGGGCUGAAGUAGGUCCCAAGGGUAUGGCUGUUCGCCAUUUAAAGUGGUACGCGAGCUGGGUUUAGAACGUCGUGAGACAGUUCGGUCCCUAUCUGCCGUGGGCGCUGGAGAACUGAGGGGGGCUGCUCCUAGUACGAGAGGACCGGAGUGGACGCAUCACUGGUGUUCGGGUUGUCAUGCCAAUGGCACUGCCCGGUAGCUAAAUGCGGAAGAGAUAAGUGCUGAAAGCAUCUAAGCACGAAACUUGCCCCGAGAUGAGUUCUCCCUGACCCUUUAAGGGUCCUGAAGGAACGUUGAAGACGACGACGUUGAUAGGCCGGGUGUGUAAGCGCAGCGAUGCGUUGAGCUAACCGGUACUAAUGAACCGUGAGGCUUAACCUUACAACGCCGAAGGUGUUU